UACAGAGGUCCCAAGCGUUGUUCGGAAUUACUGGGCGUAAAGGGCUCGGAGGCGGCCAACUAAGUCAGACGUGAAAUCCCUCGGCUUAACCGGGGAACUGCGUCUGAUACUGGAUGGCUUGAGAUUGGGAGAGGGAUGCGGAAUUCCAGGUGUAGCGGUGAAAUGCGUAGAUAUCUGGAGGAACACCGGUGGCGAAGGCGGCAUCCUGGACCAACACUGACGCUGAGUGAGCGAAAGCCAGGGGAGCAAACGGG
Molecule: ribosomal RNA, 254 nt
Filed under: uncultured bacterium
Lineage: Bacteria
Description: partial 16S ribosomal RNA
Rfam family: Bacterial small subunit ribosomal RNA
Source: RNAcentral